CCUACGGGUGGCAGCAGUGGGGAAUAUUGCACAAUGGGCGCAAGCCUGAUGCAGCCAUGCCGCGUGUGUGAAGAAGGCCUUCGGGUUGUAAAGCACUUUCAGCGGGGAGGAAGGCGGUGAGGUUAAUAACCUCAUCGAUUGACGUUACCCGCAGAAGAAGCACCGGCUAACUCCGUGCCAGCAGCCGCGGUAAUACGGAGGGUGCAAGCGUUAAUCGGAAUUACUGGGCGUAAAGCGCACGCAGGCGGUCCGUCAAGUCGGAUGUGAAAUCCCCGGGCUCAACCUGGGAACUGCAUUCGAAACUGGCAGGCUAGAGUCUUGUAGAGGGGGGUAGAAUUCCAGGUGUAGCGGUGAAAUGCGUAGAGAUCUGGAGGAAUACCGGUGGCGAAGGCGGCCCCCUGGACAAAGACUGACGCUCAGGUGCGAAAGCGUGGGGAGCAAACAGGAUUAGAUACCCCGGUAGUC
This 465-nucleotide ribosomal RNA is filed under the name uncultured Klebsiella sp. RNAcentral describes it as "bacterial SSU rRNA". It matches the Rfam family "Bacterial small subunit ribosomal RNA", at positions 338 to 795 of the family's 1533-position model. The record is from RNAcentral. Lineage: Bacteria; Pseudomonadati; Pseudomonadota; Gammaproteobacteria; Enterobacterales; Enterobacteriaceae.